This is an RNA transcript of Grus americana (Whooping crane), 1314 nucleotides long. It is a transcript of the gene named BBSome interacting protein 1, with no coding region annotated. Lineage: Eukaryota; Metazoa; Chordata; Aves; Gruiformes; Gruidae. The record is from RefSeq and is a predicted model, not a curated record. The transcript is spliced from 3 exons.
AGGCAGGGACCUGUAGUUUCUUGGCGGAAGGCGUGCGUUCCUCUCAGCACCGCGUCUGCGCGCCGCUGUGCGGGAGCCGCCAUGCCGGAGGGGAAGGCCGCGUUCCGGGAGGUGCUGCCCAAGCAAGGGCAGCUGUCGGUGGAGGACGCGGCCGCCAUGGUGCUGUGCAAGCCCAAGGUGCUGCCCCUCAAGUCGGUGUCGCUGGAGAAGCUGGAGAAGCUGCAGCGGGCGGCGCUGGAGGCGGCGCGGCCAGCCGAGGGGACCCCGCCGCCCCGGCCCUAGCCCCGGGGAGGGGUGGUGAGCACCGUGCCCUGCGGUGGCCGCACCCGCGACUCGGAGGGUUCUGCUGACACCAUGUGAACACAGAGAUGAAGCGCCUAUGUACUGAGGGGAGAGCAACAGAAACUCCAGUCCCAGCCCAGCAGUUAGCUGUGCCACAGCACAAGGUUUAACUUUCAGCACCUUUCCCUGCAAGUGGCACUCCAGUCCCUGACAGCAAGCCUGCCUCUUUUCUCUCUUCCUUAGUGACUGCGUGACCAGACAGGUGACAGCACAUACAAAUCAAAGAAAAGGCAUUUUCAGAAUAUUUGUGAGUGAAGAUGUUCCCUAAGGGGGAAAAAGAAUCACACAGCAACCGUCUCCUGUAUAACCCAGUCCUCCAGAGUUCCAGUAUGACCAGAUCUCCCUGCCAUAAUUCAGUUCCAUACUCCUCACAGACUACAGAAGUAACAUUCAGAGCAAUACUACAGAUCACAGCAAUCUGAGCAAAGAAGUUUUCCAACCAAUGCUUAUUGGAAAGAAGCUUUCCAUGAUCAAGAAGUGUAGCAGCAGUCCAAAAGCCUAUCCUUCCAUCACAUCAGUCUCCAUUACAAUCAUAGAAAAGCUAAGCAUACAGAAGUUCCACAGAAUAUUAAUUCUUCAUUAAACUUUCUUUUAUGCACUCAUCAGCUAUUUAAAAUUAAGCUAUCUCUGUUAAUGUAAAGUGUUGAAUUGCAGGGAAAAAACUGAUACUGGAAGAAGGUUUUCAUAUUCCCAUAUACCAUCCUCUCAGCAGCUACGGCUACAGCAAACAGCCUCUGCUCAAAGGACACCACCAUCACUCUGCUUAUGUUAUACAGAAUUUACUUGUGGUCUCACAAUUGUGUUGAUCUCAGAGACUUUAGUAAUUCUGUUUGUAAUCAGUGUUUCCUUUCCUCAGUGAUUCAAUGUCAUAAAGCACCCUCUGCCCAACAAACUUUACUUUUUUCUCCCAAUAAUAUGGCUGUGAGGUACAGUCUUCCACAACAUAUUCUAAAUAAAUACAUGUAAACAAAA